Sycon ciliatum is the source of this 914-nucleotide long non-coding RNA. RefSeq lists it as uncharacterized. The record is from RefSeq and is a predicted model, not a curated record. Lineage: Eukaryota; Metazoa; Porifera; Calcarea; Leucosolenida; Sycettidae. The transcript is spliced from 2 exons.
UACCCUUCCAGGUACCCUGAAGGUCCUCCAGAGGAGAAUUUAUCUCCAUCAAAGCGUUGUUGAUCCGCUAAAUUCGUCUCGAGACAUAUUCACCCAGUGCAGUGCUGAUAAAUGUAGAAUGUUGAAUCUGUGAUAAUUGUCGACGAUGGAGAGAGAGGCUGAUAGCCGCUGUCGCAGGGAGAGUGAAGCUGCUGGAAGUAACAACAGGGAGCCCGUUUGUAUCACCUGAACAACCAGACUUCAAAGCAGCUUGACCAAAUCGGAGGGUGCCUCGUUGCUUAUCGUGAAUAUUACACCGACAUGAAUUACUACAAGUAUACUGGUUUGUCCAAUAUGCAUUGACCGUAUUGGGUAUGGUACCUGCUCUGAGAAGGGAAUCGCUGGAGCCACAGUCCAACUAUACAGGCUUUCAAGAAACAGAGAGGAGCCAUCUUUGCAAGCUGAUACCUGAUGUGUACCGACAGAAUUCUCACGAGAUACCUUACAGACUACGCCUGGUGUAUACUUCAUAGUACUCCUUCGACUACUGUCUAGAAUCAAGUCGACUGAAGCAAGUUCAAACAACUCUGGCUUCAAACGAGCCGUCGAUUAGACAAACAAAACAUUCUCUCAUAUACUAGAGCACUCUGACAACUCACGACCUAUUCCUAACGAUUGCCACCGCUUAUAAAUAUGUAGAGUACUGAUUGGAAUGUGCUCACAAUCUCAACAAUCCAGUGCUAUAAUUAUUUGAACUAUGUGUUCCUUCCAUAAAUGUUGUAUCCACAUAUAAUCCACAGUGCUGCAAAGUUUCAGAGUUCUCAGGGUAUCAAACAAAAUUAUUUCAAAUACAGUGAAAUAGUUCGUGGACAUUAUAGCGUAACUUGUAGUUCCCUGGUCCUUUUCUUUGCUAUAAAUUAAUCCUUUGCUCUCUA